GAUGAAGAACGCAGCGAAAUGCGAUAAGUAAUGUGAAUUGCAGAAUUCAGUGAAUCAUCGAAUCUUUGAACGCACCUUGCACCCUUUGGCUAUUCCGAAGGGUAUGCCUGUUUGAGUAUCAUGAACACCUCAACUCUCAUGGUUUGCCAUGAUGAGCUUGGACUUUGGGGGUCUUGCUGGCCUGUGGUCAGCUCCUCUCAAAUGGAUUAGCUUGCCAGUGUUUGGUGGCAUCACAGGUGUGAUAACUAUCUACGCUUGUGGUUUUCCACCAGGUAACCUUCAGCAAUGGGGGUUCGCUGGGGCUCAUAAAUGUCUCUCCUCAGUGAGGACAGCUCUUUGAACGUUUGAUCUCAAAUCAGGUAGGACUACCCGCUGAACUUAAGCAUAUCAUAAGCGGAGGA
RNAcentral lists this unclassified non-coding RNA (401 nucleotides) under soil metagenome. RNAcentral's name for it is "partial contains 5.8S ribosomal RNA, internal transcribed spacer 2, and large subunit ribosomal RNA". The stretch from base 1 to 121 matches the Rfam family "5.8S ribosomal RNA", at positions 35 to 154 of the family's 154-position model. The record is from RNAcentral.